This 570-nucleotide ribosomal RNA is filed under the name Bacillus sp. R5. RNAcentral's name for it is "bacterial SSU rRNA". It matches the Rfam family "Bacterial small subunit ribosomal RNA", at positions 61 to 611 of the family's 1533-position model. The record is from RNAcentral. Lineage: Bacteria; Bacillati; Bacillota; Bacilli; Caryophanales; Bacillaceae.
GUCGAGCGAAUGGAUUAAGAGCUUGCUCUUAUGAAGUUAGCGGCGGACGGGUGAGUAACACGUGGGUAACCUGCCCAUAAGACUGGGAUAACUCCGGGAAACCGGGGCUAAUACCGGAUAACAUUUUGAACUGCAUGGUUCGAAAUUGAAAGGCGGCUUCGGCUGUCACUUAUGGAUGGACCCGCGUCGCAUUAGCUAGUUGGUGAGGUAACGGCUCACCAAGGCAACGAUGCGUAGCCGACCUGAGAGGGUGAUCGGCCACACUGGGACUGAGACACGGCCCAGACUCCUACGGGAGGCAGCAGUAGGGAAUCUUCCGCAAUGGACGAAAGUCUGACGGAGCAACGCCGCGUGAGUGAUGAAGGCUUUCGGGUCGUAAAACUCUGUUGUUAGGGAAGAACAAGUGCUAGUUGAAUAAGCUGGCACCUUGACGGUACCUAACCAGAAAGCCACGGCUAACUACGUGCCAGCAGCCGCGGUAAUACGUAGGUGGCAAGCGUUAUCCGGAAUUAUUGGGCGUAAAGCGCGCGCAGGUGGUUUCUUAAGUCUGAUGUGAAAGCCCACGGCUCA